RNAcentral lists this ribosomal RNA (293 nucleotides) under Bacillus velezensis. RNAcentral's name for it is "partial 16S ribosomal RNA". It matches the Rfam family "Bacterial small subunit ribosomal RNA", at positions 1 to 283 of the family's 1533-position model. The record is from RNAcentral. Lineage: Bacteria; Bacillati; Bacillota; Bacilli; Caryophanales; Bacillaceae.
UUUAUCGGAGAGUUUGAUCCUGGCUCAGGACGAACGCUGGCGGCGUGCCUAAUACAUGCAAGUCGAGCGGACAGAUGGGAGCUUGCUCCCUGAUGUUAGCGGCGGACGGGUGAGUAACACGUGGGUAACCUGCCUGUAAGACUGGGAUAACUCCGGGAAACCGGGGCUAAUACCGGAUGGUUGUUUGAACCACAUGGUUCAGACAUAAAAGGUGGCUUCGGCUACCACUUACAGAUGGACCCGCGGCGCAUUAGCUAGUUGGUGAGGUAACGGCUCACCAAGGCGACGAUGCG